GACGAACGCUGGCGGCGUGCUUAACACAUGCAAGUCGAACGGAAAGGCCCUGCUCUUGUGGUGUGCUCGAGUGGCGAACGGGUGAGUAACACGUGAGUAACCUGCCCUUGACUUUGGGAUAACUUCAGGAAACUGGGGCUAAUACCGGAUAGGAGCUCCUGCUGCAUGGUGGGGUUUGGAAAGUUUCGGCGGUUGGGGAUGGACUCGCGUCUUAUCAGCUUGUUGGUGGGGUAGUGGCUUACCAAGGCUUUGACGGGUAGCCGGCCUGAGAGGGUGACCGGCCACAUUGGGACUGGGAUACGGCCCAGACUCCUACGGGAGGAAGCAGUGGGGAAUAUUGCACAAUGGGCGGAAGCCUGAGGAAGCAACGCCGCGUGCGGGAUGACGGCCUUCGGGUUGUAAACGGCUUUCGCCUGUGACGAAGCGUGAGUGACGGUAAUGGGUAAAGAAGCACCGGCUAACUACGUG
This 468-nucleotide ribosomal RNA is filed under the name uncultured bacterium. RNAcentral describes it as "partial 16S ribosomal RNA". It matches the Rfam family "Bacterial small subunit ribosomal RNA", at positions 28 to 507 of the family's 1533-position model. The record is from RNAcentral.